UAGAAGGACUUGACAGGGAAUCCCUGCUGAA
This 31-nucleotide non-coding RNA is filed under the name Rattus norvegicus (Norway rat). Lineage: Eukaryota; Metazoa; Chordata; Mammalia; Rodentia; Muridae. The record is from RNAcentral.